Molecule: non-coding RNA, 622 nt
Organism: Penaeus vannamei (Pacific white shrimp)
Lineage: Eukaryota; Metazoa; Arthropoda; Malacostraca; Decapoda; Penaeidae
Source: RefSeq, a predicted model, not a curated record
CAACAAGGUCGAGAGCGACUGCCACUAUAAAAGACUGAACACGGCUGACAAAUGCAACAGUGACAUCCCAGCCUUCCUCCUCCAAGUCAACAGCAUUUGCUUUUGGAUACAACCAUGAGUGCUAAGAUCGUUGUGGCAAUGGUGUUCCUGGUGAGCAAGGUGUUGGCCUCUCCCUCUGACACCUACGGCCCUCCCGUGCAUCAACCAGCAUACCAGGAGCCAAUCCCGUACAACUUCACAACCUUUUGAGUGAACGACGAGUAAGAAUAGACGCGGGGACAGACUUCAGCCAAACAGAGGAGUCUGACGGCAACACUGUCAAGGGAUCCUACACUGUCCUGCUUCCUGACGGCCGCAAGCAGACGGUGACCUACGUGGCUGACCCUUACAACGGCUACCAGGCUGAGGUCAGCUACUAUGGCGAGGCACAGUACCCAAGGGAGUACGGCCCCCCCGUUACCUUCAGGCCCCAGGCAGCAUAUCAGCCCCAGCAGUACAUACCAGCAGCCCUCAUACCAGUAGCCGGUAUACAGCCAGCACAGUAUUUAUAAAGCAUGUCAUCAAGUACUUGAUUUCAAAUAGUUAAGUUAUAUUCAAAGAACAAAUAAAUCAGAGAUCUCUG